RNAcentral lists this ribosomal RNA (489 nucleotides) under uncultured bacterium. RNAcentral's name for it is "partial 16S ribosomal RNA". It matches the Rfam family "Bacterial small subunit ribosomal RNA", at positions 28 to 507 of the family's 1533-position model. The record is from RNAcentral.
GAUGAACGCUAGCUACAGGCUUAACACAUGCAAGUCGAGGGGCAGCAUGAUUGAAGCUUGCUUCAAUCGAUGGCGACCGGCGCACGGGUGAGUAACACGUAUCCAACCUGCCGAUAACUCGGGGAUAGCCUUUCGAAAGAAAGAUUAAUACCCGAUAGUAUAGUAUUUCCGCAUGGUUUCACUAUUAAAGAACUUCGGUUAUCGAUGGGGAUGCGUUCCAUUAGAUAGUUGGCGGGGUAACGGCCCACCAAGUCAACGAUGGAUAGGGGUUCUGAGAGGAAGGUCCCCCACAUUGGAACUGAGACACGGUCCAAACUCCUACGGGAGGCAGCAGUGAGGAAUAUUGGUCAAUGGACGAGAGUCUGGACCAGCCAAGUAGCGUGAAGGAGGACUGCCCUAUGGGUUGUAAACUUCUUUUAUACGGGAAUAAAGUGGAGUAUGCAUACUCCUUUGUAUGUACCGUAUGAAUAAGGAUCGGCUAACUCCGUG